This 497-nucleotide ribosomal RNA is filed under the name uncultured bacterium. RNAcentral describes it as "partial 16S ribosomal RNA". It matches the Rfam family "Bacterial small subunit ribosomal RNA", at positions 28 to 507 of the family's 1533-position model. The record is from RNAcentral.
GACGAACGCUGGCGGCGUGCCUAAUACAUGCAAAUUGAGCGCUGAAGGUUGGUACUUGUACCAACUGGAUGAGCAGCGAACGGGUGAGUAACGCGUGGGGAAUCUGCCUUUGAGCGGGGGACAACAUUUGGAAACGAAUGCUAAUACCGCAUAAAAACUUUAAACACAAGUUUUAAGUUUGAAAGAUGCAAUUGCAUCACUCAAAGAUGAUCCCGCGUUGUAUUAGCUAGUUGGUGAGGUAAAGGCUCACCAAGGCGAUGAUACAUAGCCGACCUGAGAGGGUGAUCGGCCACAUUGGGACUGAGACACGGCCCAAACUCCUACGGGAGGCAGCAGUAGGGAAUCUUCGGCAAUGGACGAAAGUCUGACCGAGCAACGCCGCGUGAGUGAAGAAGGUUUUCGGAUCGUAAAACUCUGUUGGUAGAGAAGAACGUUGGUGAGAGUGGAAAGCUCAUCAAGUGACGGUAACUACCCAGAAAGGGACGGCUAACUACGUG